GACAAAAUUUUGAGAAUUUCAUUGUAAAUUCAAAUUUUGGUUUUGUUUUGUUUUGUUUUGUUUCUGAUGCUGGGGAUUGAACUCAGGGCCUCCUGUUGCUAAGCAUGUACUCUGUCAUCGAGCCACACUCCCAGCCCCUUAAGGGUGGUUUUCUAUAAUUAACACUCUUGCUUUUCAGAAGCCAGCAUAUAAUCUACAAAACCAAUUUAGAAACAUAUUUCUGUAUAUUUUUAUGUAUAAAAUUUUUUGCCUUUUUCUUGUUACCAAUCAAUAUUCUUUAAUAUUUUUUUAAUAAUCCAAGAAUAUACAUUUAAUAGAACACACUUUUUACCUUUUGAAUCAGUAGAGGAAAAAAGAUAAUACUAAGAUAAAAAGACUUAAAAUUUUGUUCUCAAAAUUUAAUUGUAGUUAUGGAUAGGGAAAACUGUGUUUUUAAAUUUCUGAAACUAAUAGUACAAAUUAGCCUAAUUGUUCCUAAUAUGAAUGAUUUGAUUUUGGUAAGAAUAGUCACAACUCAAGUUGGAGAACCAUACUGUAGUGAACUAAACAUAGAACUUUUGAAAAAAGGAGAACAUUGCAUAAAUGCCCAAUUUUUUAUAACUACCAUUUACUUCUCAACCUCUGAUGAAAUUACAAAACUGUCUUUGAAAUUCUAUGGUGGUUCUAAACUGUUCUCUGAACAAGCUGUGAUAAACUGCUUGAAUGGCCUCUCCAAACUACUGCUAGUAUGUGGGGGCAACAAUGAGACACCAUAAGGACUUGGUACAAAGAACCCCCAGACUGAUAGACUUCCUGAAUCACCAUGUAAGGUUAGGCGUGGCACUCAGUGGUAGAGCACUGGCCCAGCAUGUACAAGGCCUGAGUUUGAUCCCAACACUGAAAAAAAAAAAAAAAACACAGUGAUAAGAGCCUGGUGCUUAAAUGAUCUGAAGAUUACAGCUUAAAUUUCAGCUGCUUACUCUGAACACUGAUGCAUAGUUUUCUUAAGUACAUUGUGCAAAUUAUUCAAUAUUGCAACCUUAAAAAAAAAAAAAGCACCUCGUACUCUGUUAGCUGUUAAAGAAUGUUAACUCAUUUGAGGAAGGAAAAUAUAAACAGAAAUAGUGAACUUACCAAAACAGAUUUUGGAGAAACAAAAUAUGACAGAAUGCACUGCUAUUCAUUGAAGAGGAGGUCCUGAAUCUAGGAGAGGUGACAAUUUAGUGACCAGAAAUUCUGUUGAUGCAGGACCAGUUUAUCAAUUCCCACUGUGACUUGUGAAUAACACAAAUUUUGACUCUAAUUGCAAGCUUUGCUGAACAACCUUCUAAUUGUAAAUAUAGCCUUCAGAUUAUUCUCAUUCAGAAAAAGAAGGAACUCUAGAUGAGGGCACCCAAAUUCCAUUCUGCACAUAGAAAAUUUAGAGGAUCUCUCUGAUUUGUAUUCAUGUGAAUUUAGUUUGUGUGGGUUUUUAAUUCUUUUAAUCAAGUAGAUGAAAAAAAA
Molecule: long non-coding RNA, 1482 nt
Filed under: Marmota monax (woodchuck)
Lineage: Eukaryota; Metazoa; Chordata; Mammalia; Rodentia; Sciuridae
Source: RNAcentral